AGUUUUGAGCUAAAUAUAUUAUAAUAUUAGUUUAUUUAUGAAGGUGUUGUAAAACCUUAUUAAAAAUUAUAUUUAGGGGUGAUAGGCCUUUCAAAAACUAAGAUAUCUUGAAUCUAAUUAAAAGUAUGUAGUACAUUCAACACAACUAUUAAGUGAUUAGGCUUUAUAGAACUAUUAACUUAUAAGGAUUUUUAUUUAUUAUAAUUUAAUAAUUAAAUAUAUAAAUAGAAUAAUAUACAUAUAUUAUAGUUUAUAAGGAGUAAUUAGAUAAAUUAAAGUUCAUAAAUUUUGUAAUAAUGUUAAUAUUAGUAUUAAGUUUAUAUUUAUAUGAUGAACUCGGCAAAAAUGUUUCUCAACUGUUUAUCAAAAACAUAACUAUGUGUAUAAAUACAUAGCGGUUUCUGCUCAA
Molecule: ribosomal RNA, 409 nt
Filed under: Mandarina conus
Lineage: Eukaryota; Metazoa; Mollusca; Gastropoda; Stylommatophora; Camaenidae
Description: partial 16S ribosomal RNA
Source: RNAcentral